GCCGGUGCCGUAGCAGCGUCAUACUUCGCUAGGGGCGAUGGGGUCGUGGGUUCGAAUCCCACCCGUCGGCC
Molecule: transfer RNA, 71 nt
Filed under: Hymenobacter polaris
Lineage: Bacteria; Pseudomonadati; Bacteroidota; Cytophagia; Cytophagales; Hymenobacteraceae
Description: tRNA-Pro
Source: RNAcentral